This is an RNA transcript of Mus musculus (house mouse), 1259 nucleotides long. It is a transcript of the gene named ribokinase, with no coding region annotated. The transcript is spliced from 9 exons. The record is from RefSeq and is marked validated. Lineage: Eukaryota; Metazoa; Chordata; Mammalia; Rodentia; Muridae.
GAGCAGGAUUAGUAAUGGCGGCGUGUGGGGAGCCCGGGAGGCCCUGGCAGGAGGAGGAGGCAGCAGCGGUGGUAGUGGUGGGUUCCUGCAUGACCGACCUGGUCAGUCUUACUUCUCGCUUGCCAAAAACUGGAGAAACCAUCCAUGGACAUGAGUUUUUUAUUGGCUUUGGAGGAAAAGGUGCCAACCAGUGUGUCCAAGCUGCGCGACUGGGAGCAAAGGCGGCCAUAGUCUGCAAGGUUGGCAACGAUUCUUUUGGCAAUGAUUACAUAGAAAACUUAAAACAAAAUCAUAUUUCUACAGAGUUUACAUAUCAGACCAGAGAUGCAGCUACAGGAACAGCCUCCAUAAUUGUCAAUAAUGAAGGCCAGAAUAUCAUCGUCAUAGUGGCUGGAGCAAAUCUGUUUUUGAAUUCUGAAGACUUGAAGAAGGCAGCCAGUGUCAUUAGCCGAGCCAAAGUGAUGAUAUGCCAGCUAGAAAUAAGCCCGGCAGCUUCUCUGGAAGCUCUGACAAUGGCCCGCAGGAGUGGAGUGAAAACCUUGUUCAACCCAGCUCCAGCCAUGGCUGACCUGGACCCCCAGUUCUAUACCCUCUCCAGUAUUUUCUGCUGCAACGAGAGCGAGGCUGAGAUUUUAACAGGCCACGCAGUGAGUGACCCCACCACGGCUGGGAAGGCUGCAAUGAUUCUCCUAGAACGGGGCUGCCAGGUUGUGGUCAUCACCUUAGGGGCUUCAGGAUGCGUGAUACUGUCACAGGCUGAGCCUGUUCCAAAGCACAUUCCCACUGAAGCUGUCAAGGCUGUAGACACCACGCAACAUCCCAUGCUCAGAAGCUGGCUUAGAAGGUCCUUUGUGAGCAGGGCCAACCUCAGCAUAGAACAGCAGCCCUGUGGGGACAAGUGAGAAGCCCGAGCUGCUUCUGGAGAUUAGUGACCGGCUUGAGAGCAAGAGUUGCUGCAGUCCGCUGUCUCUAGGACUGCUCUCCAGAGCAUGGCAGACUCCUCACCACCUACAGUGAAGACAUCCAGAGAAAGAUGAAGUCAGAGGGUGCUGGUGACAGUUUUGUGGGAGCGCUGGCCUUCUACCUGGCUUACUACCCAAAUCUGUCCUUGGAAGAAAUGCUCAAGAGAUCCAAUUUCAUCGCUGCAGUCAGUGUACAGGCCACGGGAACACAGUCCUCUUAUCCAUACAAAAAAGACCUCCCUCUUGCUCUAUUUUGACUACUGCUAACCCCCAAAUAAAUACAAUCUGGAAAGUAAA